Molecule: ribosomal RNA, 838 nt
Filed under: uncultured bacterium
Lineage: Bacteria
Description: bacterial SSU rRNA
Rfam family: Bacterial small subunit ribosomal RNA
Source: RNAcentral
GAAUGCAGUCGAACGAACUUAACCAUUAGUUUACUAUUGGAGCGGUUAGUGGCGGACUGGUGAGUAACACGUAAGCAACCUGCCUAUCAGAGGGGAACAACAGUUAGAAAUGACUGCUAAUACCGCAUAUGCCUUAGAAUCACAUGGUUCAAAAGGGAAAGGAGCAAUCCGCUGAUAGAUGGGCUUGCGUCUGAUUAGCUAGUUGGUGGGGUAACGGCCUACCAAGGCGACGAUCAGUAGCCGAACUGAGAGGUUGAACGGCCACAUUGGGACUGAGAUACGGCCCAGACUCCUACGGGAGGCAGCAGUCGGGAAUAUUGCGCAAUGGAGGAAACUCUGACGCAGUGACGCCGCGUGCAGGAAGAAGGUUUUCGGAUUGUAAACUGCUUUAGACAGGGAAGAACAAAGACAGUACCUGUAGAAUAAGCUCCGGCUAACUACGUGCCAGCAGCCGCGGUAAUACGUAGGGAGCGAGCGUUAUCCGGAUUUAUUGGGUGUAAAGGGUGCGUAGACGGGAAGUCAAGUUAGUUGUGAAAUCCCUCGGCUUAACUGAGGAACUGCAACUAAAACUGAUUUUCUUGAGUACUGGAGAGGAAAGUGGAAUUCCUAGUGUAGCGGUGAAAUGCGUAGAUAUUAGGAGGAACACCGGUGGCGAAGGCGACUUUCUGGACAGAAACUGACGUUGAGGCACGAAAGUGUGGGGAGCAAACAGGAUUAGAUACCCUGGUAGUCCACACCGUAAACGAUGGGUACUAGGUGUAGGGGAUAUUAAAAUUCUCUGUGCCGCCGCUAACGCAAUAAGUAUCCCACCUGGGGAGUACGGCCGCAAGGUUGAAAC